CAACCAUCCAGAGCGACCGAGAGACCUGGCUCGUUGACGUCGCAGCAACCCUUCCGAAUUUUUCGGGUGCGGGUGCUACCGCCGGGAUCGAUGGAAG
Molecule: non-coding RNA, 97 nt
Filed under: Rhodococcus jostii RHA1
Lineage: Bacteria; Bacillati; Actinomycetota; Actinomycetes; Mycobacteriales; Nocardiaceae
Also listed under: 1 other name
Description: SAM riboswitch aptamer (S box leader)
Rfam family: SAM riboswitch aptamer (S box leader)
About the family: The SAM riboswitch is found upstream of a number of genes which code for proteins involved in methionine or cysteine biosynthesis in Gram-positive bacteria.
Source: Rfam by way of RNAcentral